This 66-nucleotide transfer RNA is filed under the name Marmota monax (woodchuck). RNAcentral's name for it is "tRNA.Ala". Lineage: Eukaryota; Metazoa; Chordata; Mammalia; Rodentia; Sciuridae. The record is from RNAcentral.
GGUUGUGGCUCAGUGGUAAAGCACUUGCCUAGCAUGCAUGAGGCACUGGUUUGAUCCGUGGCACCA